This 3359-nucleotide long non-coding RNA is filed under the name Dendronephthya gigantea. RNAcentral describes it as "uncharacterized LOC114538410". The record is from RNAcentral. Lineage: Eukaryota; Metazoa; Cnidaria; Anthozoa; Malacalcyonacea; Nephtheidae.
CCGAGGAUUCAAACAUCGAUUUCCGAUACGAAAAUAACGCUUGUUGCAAUCGCUUACUGUCACUUUAUAACGGCACGAUUACAAGAGUCGAUAAAAACCUUUAUUAUUGCGACAAUUGAAAGAAACAUUUCGAAUGCAGUACGAAUAGCAAAUCACACUCGGCGUACUGUUCCAGUACGAAUAGCCACUUCGUAUGGACCAAAGGUGAUGGAAAUUGUCUAUACAGAGCCUGUUCUAAAUUACUUUGUGGCAAAGAGGAUCUUUAUAAUUUAUUGAGAGAUCUUACCAACAUUGAGCUCUUUAAUAAGCAAGAGUUUUAUGCAUUCCAUCCAUACAUUAAAGAAAAUUCAAAGUUAUUCAAAUCCGAGAAUAGUGUUUUUUCAGCAGCCGCAUCUGACUCAGCCCUAGGACAUGGUUAUGACCGCAAGGAUCCCAACAGCAGGGUAAAAGUUGUUGAGCAUGAAGCCAUCCGAAAUGCGAACCCUGGUACCUUUUCCUCUCUUUUGUGUAUGCUAGCCUUGUCAUCUGUUACUGGAAUGAACAUUAAAUCAGUUUACCCUGAGAACGCAGCAGCACCGAACAAGUAUUCUCAAUUUUUUUUAAAUGGAACUAUACAACCAAGGCAGACACGUGUAAUUUUCCAACUUGGUCAACCAACUAAACUUUUUCUCUUAUGGACAAUUGAUGGUGUGCAUACUCUGCCUGGUUUGACUGCUAACUUCAACCCAAACCACUUUGUACAACUUGUUGAAGUUUUAACCAAGGAAGAUGUCCCAACUAACUGAAGAAGUGCUCACAAUCUCAGCAACAAAAAAUUACUGAUCUUUUUUCUCGCCCUUCCCAAAGUACGACAAAGUCACAAAAUUCAGACGAAAAGCCAUCAACAUCUUCUAUUGUCAAGGAUGAGCACAAACCUGUAAAGGAAUUCACGUGAUUCCCUUGGGAUCACACUAAAACAAAAACCUAGUACUUCUGGCGAAUCAUCCCUGAUGCGAAAUAAGGCAGAUAUUUCAGAUGUUGACCCAUUGGAUAUUGGACAUUUUGUUUCAGUGACAACAAUCGAUGAUGAUACCAAGCUUAAUUUAAUUAACAAUCAUUGGAAGCCAUCACAAUCUUUCAGUUUUCCUUGUUCAUCUUCGCGGCGAAAAUUUUGUCUUACUUGGCUAAAUCGGUGCUCUUGGUUAUGUUACUCUAAACUUUUCGAUGGGGCCUUUUGUCUUUCUUGUGUUCUAUUUGGUAAAGAAACUGGGCAUAAUGGCUCCAAAUUAAUAAAGCUGUUCAAGGAACCAUUAACGAAUUGGCAAAGUGCUGCUUCAAAACUUGAGCAACAUCAAAAAUCUUCCGUGAUCCACCGUGAUUCUAUGUUGCGCAUUUCAAGAAAAUUAUGACAGGCGAAGCCAUGGGUAUUGAUGAACAAACAGAUCAAAUGAGGAGCGCUCGUAUUCAGCAGAACGAUCUAUCCUAACCUCCAUCACUAAGACGAUCCUUUUGGCUGGAAAACAGAAUAUCGCUUUAAGAGGACAUCGUGACAACUCCAAGUAUUAUCUUUCUACCAAUCCUGGUAACUUCCAAUCCCUUCUUGAUUUCCGAGUCGAUGCAGGUGACGAAACCCUUCAACGUCAUUUUGAGAGUGGCAAUAAGAAUGCGACUUAUCGUUCCAAGACAAUCCAAAACAAGCUCAUUAAGGUCUGUGGCGACCAGAUUCGCGAUAAAAUCGUGGCUGAGAUAAAUAACAGUAAUUGUCCAAUAUACUCGGUUUUUGGUGAUGAAGCGACAGACUGCGACAGUAAAGAACAAAUGUCCAUUGUCCUGCGAUAUGUUGAUUCGAAGAAAGAAAUUAACGAAAGAUUCAUAGAAUUUGUUGAAUGCGAAGAAGGUGUUUCAGGCGAAGCAUUAGCGAACAACAUCGAAGGAACUUUGUAAGAAGUUGGUCUUCCUCUUUCAAAUCUUCGUGGUCAAGGUUACGAUGGUUCAAGUGCGAUGCCUAGUCAGACAAAAGGUGUCUCUGGGCGUAUUUUAGAAAAGCAUUCGAAAGCAUUGUAUGUCCACUGUUCCAGCCAUCGCUUGAAUCUUGUUGUUGCCAAAACUUGUGGGUUAAACUCUGUUCAAAAAAUGUUGGAUCAUGCACAGAAGAUCUCUAGUUUUUUCAGUCCAUCUCCAAACCGAAUGCAAUUGCUGAGAAAGGAAAUGGCAAAGAUUGGUUUGAAGCGCCAGAAGCUUGGAGCUCCUUCGACAACGCGUUGGGUUGAACGGAUCUCUACUCUAGGUGGAUUUGUGGAUGCGUUUGAGGCCAUCUUCAACAGCUCGGAUUACAAUGACUUCAACAAUUCGAGUUCUGAUGCUGGUCUUUUUUUCACUCAAUUCAGAAGUUUGAAUUCAUUGCCACUCUUGUAAUUAUUACCAAUAUCCUUGAUCACACCUUGUCUUUGACCGUUAAAUUGCAACGUCGGAAAAUUGAUGUCGCACAGUCCCUCAAGCAAAUCAAUCUGCUAAAGGUCCAGCUGAAGAAAAUGCGAGAGUCAGUGGACGAGAUUCAUAAUAAGUAGUCCGUAGAAGUUAGUGAAUCCUUUCCUAGAAUCUGCAAAGUCCAAACUACUCGGGAUAACUAUAACGUAUCCAAUGCCCGCAAUUAUUUUCGACUGAAGCUUACUAUUCCAAUUUUGGAUCACUUGAUUGGAAAAAUGGAACAUCGUUUCCCAUCAGAAAUGUGUAAUCUCUAUAACGGAUUUUACGUUAUUCCUGGUAUUUUUCUUAAUUGUAAAGGCAAAGACUGGAAGACGGAGUUUAUGAAGUCCGUUGCAGCAUAUAGUGAUGACAUGCCAAACUUUCGUUCAAUCCAUGCCGAGCUGAGUUUGUGGGAAACCAGUUGGACAGAAGGCUUUGAAAAAGUCUCUACGAAACUGUAACGAACUCGCUUUUCCGAAUAUCUUCACCGCCCUUAAGAUACUGGCAGUCGUACCAGUUACUACGUGUGAAUGCGAAAGAUCCAUUUCUGCUCUUCGCCGUAUGAAAACAUGGUUUCAAGAAGCACGAUGGUUAACGAACGGCUAAAUGGCCUUGCGCAGAUGCAUAAAAGUGACGAUAUUACCGUAGAUAUACAGGAAAUAAUAAAUACAUUUGCAAGACAGAAUCCUACAAGGAUGCAAUUCUUGGACAUAUUAAAUGAUAAAAAAGAAAAGAAUAAAGCAAAGUGAAUUCAAUAUCUAAUAUCCUUCAACCCUUCUCUAAAGAUUUACUGUGUUAUCUGCCGCUGUUGGAAGAUCCGUCGCCUUGAACUUUUCUCUAAAGAUUUACUUGUUAUCUGCCGCUGUUGGAAGAUCCUUUACCUUGAACAUUUUAUUAAAGAUUUACUGUGUUAU